AAUAGGUGGAAGGGGAAUUUCAGGAUUUCUGGGGUCUAUUACCCUCAGAACUGCCCCCUCCGUAGUUCCGUGGAAAAUCAACCCGUUUUGAUAAACACUGGGCUCCCCCUGCCCGCCCCGCGAAGAACAGGCGCCACUCAUAUUCUGACGUCGAAGACUUCCCCAGUGCUUGGCUUCGCGGACAGGCCACAGUGUCAGAUGAGAGGGAGUUGAACUUGUCAAAUGAAUGUCUACAGUGAUAUGUAUGAAGCAAAGGGAAGAAGCAUUCUUGCUGACUAACUAUCAGACCUUUUGCAAACAGGAUGCAGCACGUGACAAAUGGGAAGAGGCACCAUGCGCAGGGGAUCUUAAUCACUUUGAAUCCUGUGCUCAAAAGGCUUCACUUCUGCAUGGUGAUUGAUGUAGACGCAUUACUACCAAGUUAAGUUACAAUGUCCUCCAUUCAUUCAUUUGCCAAAAUGGCCCAAAUGUCACCCAAUACACCAAAUUAAAAAAAA
Molecule: long non-coding RNA, 497 nt
Filed under: Aotus nancymaae (Ma's night monkey)
Lineage: Eukaryota; Metazoa; Chordata; Mammalia; Primates; Aotidae
Description: lncRNA (ENSANAG00000039527.1)
Source: RNAcentral